Molecule: long non-coding RNA, 668 nt
Filed under: Pan paniscus (pygmy chimpanzee)
Lineage: Eukaryota; Metazoa; Chordata; Mammalia; Primates; Hominidae
Description: lncRNA (ENSPPAG00000044235.1)
Source: RNAcentral
GCAGAUCAUUGCUUCGGCUUUCAGGACCUUUGCAAACUUAGAUUAAAUAAAUUAACUUAAAUUAGCUAUCAAAUAUAGCUGUGAGUUUGAAGGGUUCAUAGCCUGGAGGAAAACAGAAGUAAAAUUCAGCAUCUGUCAAAGGUUGCCAAAGUAGAAAUAAACAUGAUAGUUAUCCGAUCCCUUUCCUAGGGCACCAGAUUUGGGCACCACCACAUGUGAUGUGGGGCGGAUUGGCCAAUAGAAGCCAAGUGAAGUCAGACGCUCAAGAUGUAACUAAAGCAUUUAUGAAUAUCAUCUGUCUAAUCUGGAGAAACACGUCUUAUAGUUGGCCACUCUCAUGGUUCUUGUUGCCUUCUGUUGUUUGGAGGAAUCUAAGGAUUUAUGGAAGUUAUGUUGGUAUAUCAGAAGCUUGUUGGUAUAUAUUUGACACUGCCUCUGGAACUCCUUGCCGAACACAAAGCUGUGCUAUUUGCCUGCCUAGAGCAUUGAUGGUAAAAUAGAGUUUUCAAUGUCUGUCACUCAAGGCCUUUCCACAUCUCACCUCAAUCCCUUUUCUCCUCUAAUUUCUGGCCUUACGUUCUCUAAGUCACCAUGUGUUUUACCUAUAAUAAACAAUUUUGCUCCUUAAAUGAUGCCUUACAUUUUUUUUCCCUGAAUUUGCAUCUUUG